UUCGCGAAGUUGCCGCAACAGGCAUCGGCAGCACUCACAAGACGAACGCGUUUAUUGCCACGUGUUACGAAGAAGCUGUGGCCAUUCGCGAAGUUUUGGGCGAUGGCAAAGAGCGGUUGAACUAGGAUGCCGAACACUGACAACGUGACUCGCGCGUUCAACGACUUGGUCGCAAAGUCGAGCCGACGCCGGGCCGCGAAGACGAACGAACGCGCCGCCGCCUGACAAUCUGCCCGGCACGAACAAGGCCCCGGCGCUCCGGCUCCGGGGCCUUCGUAGUUCGGGGUAGCCGCCGAGGUAGGUGGUCGGCUCUGACGGGGGUAGCUGCCGUUACUGUGCAUCCGGACCACGGACGCGCCCGCCGGGAGCCUUGGCGACAUCGGAGCGACUAUUCAUGGAAGGCUCUAGAAUCGCCGGAAGGAAGGCCCUUCCCAAUCGGUCGCGGAGCGGGUAUCAGGUCGCCCGCGGCGCGGAUUUCGUCCGAACUACCCUAAGCCUACCCCGGACGAAAAACGGCCCCACUCAGUUUGUAUAUUAGCCGCUAAGUAUUUGAGAAGAUUGGCAAAGCCGGCGUAGCUCAGUGGUAGAGCAUCCGCUUCGUAAGCGGGUGGUCGGGGGUUCAAAUCCCUCCGCCGGCACCAUGUUUCAUUAGCUUUUCUAAGUGUCCGCUGUUCUCCCCACACAGAUUUCCCACACAGUCAGAGCAAAACCGGGACGGUUUUCGUUCACAACUAUUUGCGUGGGGGUAUGGCUCUAGACCUGGCGUGGCUGCCGCAGCGCCACGGCGACUGGCAAAGCAAAGCAACGCGGGUGAGCCACUCAGACGUUAUCGGUCAGGUCAAAGUGUUCGAUAUGUUUUGGCAGUGCUUGUGACAUGUCGGCGCCGCAUCGGCGCUGGUCUUCUCGAGCUUCUGAAGCCAACCAUCGCAGAAGUACUCGGCCAUGCCGAAACGCGCGUGGUCUCGAAGCACUACCGUCACCUUGCGCCCUCGUUCGUGGCCGACACAGUGCGACAGACCGCGCCGAAUUUCGCGAUCGCGAUCUGACCGGCUGAAAGUUCAAGCCCUACAGUCGCCCACGCUAAUUACUGGGUUUUCUGAGUACCGUCGAAAUCCGCCGCAAUAGCUUCCACGGGUUUCUUCGGGUCUCCGCGGGACCGGCACACCGGGAGUUUGUCCCGACGGAUCUUUCAACACUGGCCUUUACCUAUAUGCUGCAGCGAAAAUUCGGCGAGACAAUAGACCCUGCCCUCUCAACACUGAGAGCCGCAUGCUUUGAGAUCUGCGGGCCAGGCUCACCCUGGCCAUCAAGUCUAGCGGCUGGUUGAGCAAGAGAAAACAAAACGUAGGAUAG
Molecule: transfer RNA, 1353 nt
Filed under: uncultured fungus
Lineage: Eukaryota; Fungi
Description: sequence contains 18S rRNA gene, ITS1, 5.8S rRNA gene, ITS2, 28S rRNA gene
Rfam family: tRNA (bases 567-638)
Source: RNAcentral